This 329-nucleotide unclassified non-coding RNA is filed under the name soil metagenome. RNAcentral's name for it is "partial contains 5.8S ribosomal RNA, internal transcribed spacer 2, and large subunit ribosomal RNA". The stretch from base 1 to 120 matches the Rfam family "5.8S ribosomal RNA", at positions 35 to 154 of the family's 154-position model. The record is from RNAcentral.
GUUGAAGAACGUAGCGAAAUGCGAUAAGUAAUGUGAAUUGCAGAAUUCAGUGAAUCAUCGAAUCUUUGAACGCACAUUGCGCCCCUUGGUAUUCCGAGGGGCAUGCCUGUUCGAGCGUCAUUAUAACCCCUCAAGCUCAGCUUGGUGUUGGGGCCUGCUGCACUGGCAGCCCUUAAAAUCAGUGGCGGCGCCGUCUGGCUCUAAGCGUAGUAAUUCUUCUCGCUAUGGAGUCCUGGUGGAUGCUUGCCAUCAACCCCCAAUUUUUCUAUGGUUGACCUCGGAUCAGGUAGGGAUACCCGCUGAACUUAAGCAUAUCAAUAAGCGGAGGA